RNAcentral lists this ribosomal RNA (445 nucleotides) under uncultured bacterium. RNAcentral describes it as "SSU rRNA". It matches the Rfam family "Bacterial small subunit ribosomal RNA", at positions 26 to 518 of the family's 1533-position model. The record is from RNAcentral.
AGAACGAACGCUGGCGGCAUGCCUAACACAUGCAAGUCGAACGAGACCUUCGGGUCUAGUGGCGCACGGGUGCGUAACGCGUGGGAAUCUGCCCUUAGGUACGGAAUAACAGUGAGAAAUUACUGCUAAUACCGUAUGAUGUCUUCGAACCAAAGAUUUAUCGCCUAGGGAUGAGCCCGCGUAGGAUUAGCUAGUUGGUGGGGUAAAGGCCUACCAAGGCGACGAUCCUUAGCUGGUCUGAGAGGAUGAUCAGCCACACUGGGACUGAGACACGGCCCAGACUCCUACGGGAGGCAGCAGUGGGGAAUAUUGGACAAUGGGCGAAAGGCCUGAUCCAGCAAUGCCGCGUGAGUGAAGAAGGCCUUCGGGUUGUAAAGCUCUUUUACCCGGGAAGAUAAUGACUGUACCGGAGAAUAAGCCCGGCUAACUCCGUGCCAGCAGCCGC